Molecule: ribosomal RNA, 253 nt
Filed under: uncultured bacterium
Lineage: Bacteria
Description: partial 16S ribosomal RNA
Rfam family: Bacterial small subunit ribosomal RNA
Source: RNAcentral
UACGAAGGGUUCUAGCGUUACUCGGAUUUACUGGGCGUAAAGGGUGUGUAGGCGGAUAAAAAAGUCAGAUGUGAAAUCCCUGAGCUCAACUCAGGAACUGCAUUUGAAACUUUUUAUCUAGAGUAUGAUAGAGGAUGGUGGAAUUCCUAGUGUAGGGGUAAAAUCCGUAGAUAUUAGGAGGAAGACCUGAGGCGAAAGCGACCAUCUGGGUCAUUACUGACGCUGAGACACGAAAGCGUGGGUAGCAAACGGG